This 419-nucleotide ribosomal RNA is filed under the name uncultured Prevotella sp. Its description in RNAcentral is "bacterial SSU rRNA". It matches the Rfam family "Bacterial small subunit ribosomal RNA", at positions 358 to 774 of the family's 1533-position model. Lineage: Bacteria; Pseudomonadati; Bacteroidota; Bacteroidia; Bacteroidales; Prevotellaceae. The record is from RNAcentral.
GGAAUAUUGGUCAAUGGACGGAAGUCUGAACCAGCCAAGUAGCGUGCAGGAUGACGGCCCUAUGGGUUGUAAACUGCUUUUGUGCGGGAAUAAAGUGAGGGACGUGUCCCUUUUUGCAUGUACCGCACGAAUAAGGACCGGAUAAUUCCGUGCCAGCAGCCGCGGUAAUACGGAAGGUCCGGGCGUUAUCCGGAUUUAUUGGGUUUAAAGGGAGCGCAGGCUGAUGAUUAAGCGUGACGUGAAAUGUAGCCGCUCAACGGCUGAACUGCGUCGCGAACUGGUUAUCUUGAGUGAGUUCGAUGUUGGCGGAAUUCGUGGUGUAGCGGUGAAAUGCUUAGAUAUCACGAAGAACGCCGAUUGCGAAGGCAGCCAACAAGGCCUUUACUGACGCUAAAGCUCGAAGGUGCGGGUAUCGAACA